RNAcentral lists this ribosomal RNA (460 nucleotides) under uncultured bacterium. Its description in RNAcentral is "partial 16S ribosomal RNA". It matches the Rfam family "Bacterial small subunit ribosomal RNA", at positions 338 to 795 of the family's 1533-position model. The record is from RNAcentral.
CCUACGGGGGGCUGCAGUGAGGAAUAUUGGUCAAUGGACGAGAGACUGAACCAGCCAAGUAGCGUGAAGGAUGACUGCCCUAUGGGUUGUAAACUUCUUUUAUAAAGGAAUAAAACGAGGCACGUGUGCCUUUUUGCGUGUACUUUAUGAAUAAGGAUCGGCUAACUCCGUGCCAGCAGCCGCGGUAAUACGGAGGAUCCGAGCGUUAUCCGGAUUUAUUGGGUUUAAAGGGAGCGUAGAUGGGUUGUUAAGUCAGUUGUGAAAGUUUGCGGCUCAACCGUAAAAUUGCAAUUGAUACUGGCAGUCUCGAGUACAGUUGAGGUAGGCGGAAUGCGUGGUGUAGCGGUGAAAUGCUUAGAUAUCACGAAGAACCCCGAUUGCGAAGGCAGCUUACUAAACUGUGACUGACAUUGAUGCUCGAAAGUGUGGGUAUCAAACAGGAUUAGAUACCCUUGUAGUC